Long non-coding RNA from Triticum dicoccoides, 960 nucleotides. RefSeq lists it as uncharacterized. The record is from RefSeq and is a predicted model, not a curated record. The transcript has 5 exons. Lineage: Eukaryota; Viridiplantae; Streptophyta; Magnoliopsida; Poales; Poaceae.
GGGUGAAAGCAACCCUAGAGCCCUCAUCAUUCCCUCCAUCCACUCCCCAAUGCCUCCUCAUCCCCAGCCGGCGGCUCGACCUCUCGUGCCCUCGCCGCCAUCAACCUCUCCUGCACUCACACGCCAGCCGCCGAUCUCCCGCGCCCUCACCCAUUAGCAGCCGAAGUCGCUCUCCCCCGCAAGUCGCCGUGCUCGGGAUUUAUGGCUGCUCCUUCGCCUCGCCCAUCUAGAUCCGCCAUCGCCUCCCUCCCUUGCUGAUGUUCAUCUUAUCUAUUUAUGCAGGGGGCUCGUCCUUCCGUGGUGCUCAGCCACCGUCCGGUUUGGAGGGGGAAUAGGAGACCCCCAACGAAAACGAGCAUGCUAGCGGUGGACACAAGGAUGCGCGGUGAUUGUGCCAGGUCCAUGCUCCAGUUCUUCUGUUGGAACUAGGAGGUGCAGAUAAAUAAGAGUUGUUGGCAGCAGCAACCUACACAUGUGGAAAUAGUGGUUAUGGCAGCUCAAAGGGAAGUUCUGUCUGCUAGACAGCAACUCACAACUUAGUGGCGGCUCAAUGCUAUUCCUCAUGUUGCAACCUUUUCCCGUAGAAUCAAAAGGAGUUAGAUGGAAGAAAUUGCAGGAGAGCAGGAAUGGUAUUCCCGGCGUGACAUUCAAAAGCAGUCAAGAUGGUGAGGUUUAGAACGGAGGAGCUCCGCGGAAUUAUGGAUAGAAAAUAUCCAUAACAUGUCUGUCAUUGCCAUGUCGACCGUGCCCUUUGAUUCUACAAGCCGCAAAGGAGCAAAGUGUAGAAAAUAUGUCCAUUGUUGUUGAAUUGGAGGGAUUGUCACCAAGUUAGUGCUUCAGAUUGUUUCUAUUUUAGAGCAAGAAGCCAAAUCAUGUUGUUCAUUGUAAAUCUUCAAAAACCUGAUUAUUGUCACUGUUAUAUCUGUUAUAAACUUUUGUUCGUGAUGUGGUACUUGUCAA